AAAAAAACAUGACAUUUGAAGACCAGUCCAAGUAUGAAUUUUAGGACCAUAUGAAAAAACCAUAAUAAUGUAUGGGGUAUUGUGAAGUUAGGAACUUUUUUGGGGCUUUUAUAGAUAUAGGCAUAUUUUGGCCCAAAAAUUAGAAAAGAGACACAUUUGACUUGAGCUUAUAAGUUUAAGAACUUUUUGAUCUGUGAAAUGACAAUAUUGCCCUCAAUUCCCUUGUCUCUCUGUCGUGCGCCUGAUUUUUCCGACCAACAAUCUUCUGCUUCUCACCGCCGACUCAACACUCUAUCAAAAUCAUAAUUUUCAGGUCCAACAAAAUCGUUCCUUCACCUCUGACAACUCAUACAACAUUUUCUUCACCAACCUCCUCCGUUAAAAUCCGAUAGAUCUACUUAAAAGAGUGUUGAUGCAAAGAAUCUAAACUCUAUGGGGAUAAUGUCUAGGGAAUCCACGGAUUCUAAUUUUAGACACAAAUUAAAUCAAUUCAUUCUAAACCAAAUUUAGUUGCUAGUGUCGACGAAGCUUCCCAUCACGGUUUGUAACAUGAGAUCUUGAAAGCAGGCAGUCAAAGGCUGGUCGAUUAGGCCUUCAAACUGCAAUUUUCAAAUCUCAAAUUGGAGAUUGGAAAUCAGAUAAAUAUAACUUUUAUGGUCGUAUUUUGGGGCAAAAAGAAAAAAAAUGAUAGAUUUAAAGAGACAAAGAGAUGAAUAAUUAUGGUAGUCAUUGAACAAUAGCAAUUACGAGUAUUCUUCUGUAUGGUUUGUGUGUGUUUCGAACCUGGGUUUUGGAUUCCUUAUGGUUGUGUGGGUGAGAGAUAAUCCAACUAAAAAAAAUUAAAAAAGAGAGAAGAGGAAAUUAUUAGGUUUGUCUGGGUGACGAAGGGUAAAAUCGUCAAUAUCAAGAGAUAGAAGUACUUAAUUCUAUAAGCACAUGCAUUUUGUGCCUGUAUCGACAACGACAUAGAAUUUUAAGUGCUUUAUUCGUAAUUGAUCCCAUUUUUUUAGUGUUUAUGUAGAUGAGUAUUUUUACUUUUGGUGAUUUGCAAGAAUAGCCAUAUUUAAUAAAUGAAUUAAGAAUAUAGCAGCAUAAUUGUAACAAUUAAUAAACUAGCAUGAGAGACAAUGGAAAAGACAAUUUUAGUGUUUAGCUGUAUAAAAAAUAUAAAUGGA
RNAcentral lists this small RNA (1175 nucleotides) under Arabidopsis thaliana (thale cress). Its description in RNAcentral is "putative long intergenic non-coding RNA". Lineage: Eukaryota; Viridiplantae; Streptophyta; Magnoliopsida; Brassicales; Brassicaceae. The record is from RNAcentral.